Molecule: ribosomal RNA, 380 nt
Filed under: uncultured eukaryote
Lineage: Eukaryota
Description: partial 18S ribosomal RNA
Rfam family: Eukaryotic small subunit ribosomal RNA
Source: RNAcentral
CAAUAGCGUAUAUUAAAGUUGUUGCAGUUAAAAAGCUCGUAGUUGGAUUUGUGGCGUACGGUGGGUUCCGGGCACUUGUUGUCUGAGUAACUUGCUGUUGCCAUCCUUGGGUGGAACCUGUGUGGCAUUAGGUUGUCGUGCAGGGGAUGCCCAUCAUUUACUGUGAAAAAAUUAGAGUGUUCAAAGCAGGCUUAUGCCGUUGAAUAUAUUAGCAUGGAAUAAUGAGAUAGGACUUUUUUGCUAUUUUGUUGGUUUGCGCAAAGAGGUAAUGAUUAAUAGGGACAGUUGGGGGUAUUCGUAUUCCAUUGUCAGAGGUGAAAUUCUUGGAUUUUCGGAAGACGAACUACUGCGAAAGCAUUUACCAAGGAUGUUUUCAUUAA